CUUACUUAUAUAUGUAGGCAUUUCUUACCUUGACGCAUUUUUACUGCAUCUUUAACCGCCUGUGCAAUCAACCUUUCUUUUCCCUUCUUUCUUUUUCUUUAAGACUUCUUUCCCAUAUGGCUACCUCUGCUGCUUCUGCUUCCACCACUAUACUUGAGCUUUCCUCGGCUCUAGCUUCUGCUCAAUCUGGUUCCCACGUGCCUUUGCUCCUAGAGAACGCACCAGUUACUACCAUGGACGAUGGUACUCAACCUUUUGUCCCUAUUCCAGGCAUGGAAGAACCUAGCUUGAAGAUCUUCAAUUCUCAGGUGCCAAAAUAUUACUUUGUACUUGCUCAAGCUCUUCAUCUCAAGAAAAAGCUGCUAUAGCCAAAAAGCUUCCUCAACAUCCAGAUGAUGCUCAACAUUGGGAAAGCAAAGACGAAGAAGCUAGUCAAUCCUUAAAGUCUCGAAAAAGAAAAACUGCCUCUGAAAGACUUUUGAUUCGCUCCAAGGUAUCAUCACUGUCCUCUGUUGGUUAUAGUCUCUUCUACGUAUUCUUAAAUUUCAUUGUCAUAGGGUGUCGAAACUUCCUCGAAGAAACCUCGUGUUGACUUAGUAAGUGUUAAAUCUGAGUCACUUUGGUCUCUCAAAUCACUAUCCAUUUUUGACCUUCGACCCGUAUUUUACUUUCCUCAUUUUCUUUAGGUUUCUACUACUAGACGAGUUUCGAAAGAUAAAGGAAAACAAAAAAAUUCCUCCACUGAAACUGCAUCGAACCCCAUUGCCCCAACUGACAAACUUAUGAAAGAUGCUAUGAAAAUUGUAGUUCAAGUUGAACAUGUAAGUUUAAUUAUUGUUACUUUUUUUUUUUGAACUCCCUUGGGUUUUUUUCUACAAGAGUCUUCUCAAGGCAACACCCCUUCUUUCAAUUUUGAAGUUGGUACUGCUUCUGGUCAAGAUGAGGAAACUGUAGUGCCUAUUCCAACUCUUCAAGUUCCCUCGGUGACCUCGGAUGGUGAUGCUAAAUCUUUCAAACCUCUAACAAUUCCAAUUCCUUCCGAUGAUUUAGAUCUUAUCAGAUUUUUUAAUGAGGAAACCACUCAAGAUGAUAUCUUUAAUGUACUUGAGAACUGGACUAGCGGGACUUCUGUGUCUGAUAAAUCUUGAGAUACAACCUCUCACUAUCAACCUUUAUUAGCCUCGUUCCGCUCAAAAUCCUAUGUGGAAAACUUAGAUCAAUCUCUUUUAAAUCCUCACUUUAAAGUAGAAGUGGAGCAAAUGGUUGAAGACCUAAAUGCCUUCCCUGACCUUCCUCCUGAAGUGACCGCGGAACUGAAAAAAUUCUUCCAAGCCUUUACAAAAGCAUUAGAAUUGCGAACCAAAUGGUCAGCUUCUUACAAAGAAGUAGCCCAAAUAGAAGUAAGCACUGAAAGAGAUCGUAGCAAGCUCAAACAACUAAAAUCUGAACUACUUUCGAUUUGGGAGUCCACUUCCAGUCUUAUCCUGGAACUGAUGAGAUUGAAGAAAGAAGAAGCUGAUAUGGAGAAACCUAUUGAAACUUUGCAGAAGGUAUUGGAAUUGACUAAAUCUAAGCAUGCCGCUCUUAAAAGUCAAAGCCAGGAUAUCAUCUGGAAACAAAAAGAGUUAAAGGAUGAAGGAAAAACCCUCUCUACUCACCUCUCCAAGACUUUAGAACAAAAACGGAGGCUUGAAACUUUGUGUGCCUCAAGAAGGCAAAGUUUAGAACAAGCCUAUCAAGCUUUCGAGUCCUUUAAGCUAAAAUUUUGUAAAUCCGAUUAGUAUUCAGAGUAACUUUGCUUUAAUACAAUUUACAUUGAUGGAAUUUCUUUAAAUAUUUGCCA
Molecule: non-coding RNA, 1843 nt
Organism: Cajanus cajan (pigeon pea)
Lineage: Eukaryota; Viridiplantae; Streptophyta; Magnoliopsida; Fabales; Fabaceae
Source: RefSeq, a predicted model, not a curated record